AUGCACAAGUCUUUUACUAAAAUAAGACUAUUGGUACAUUUUGGUAAUACAAAAAAAACUAUUUUUAAAUUUAUUUUAUUAGACAUCCUAAACUUGAAGAUUACUAUUAAUUAAUAUAAUAGCAAAUCACUAAUAGUAUAAUAAUGUACCAAUUAAUAGUAUAACAAAGUUUAAUAGCUUUGGUGCUAGAGCUGUCAAAAUGGACCGACCCGAAAGCCCGCAUAAAACGUAGGGCUUGGGCCUAAUAAUUGGAGCCCGAAUUUUUCCCGGGCUUUUUAGCCCGGACCGAAAAAGCCCGGAGCCCGUUCGGGCCACGGGCAGCCCGCAAAAAAUUAAGAGUGGGUCAUUUUUGGUGUGGUGUCUGCUGGGCCUGGAUUGGACAACCCAAUAUUAGGGAUCCGGCCCAAAUUGAAAUAACCCUAACUCACGUAUGUGACAUCAGCCUCACUCUCGCUCACACACGAUCACACUCUUUUCUUCUCCACGCCACGCGAUUCACAUUCCGCGCGAUUCGUAUCAUCAAAUCAAGCAAGCUCACGCGAUUCCGAUUCUGCGAUUCCGAUCAUCAAGCUCACGCGAUUCUGAUUCUGGCAGCUGAAAUCACACAGGCUCAACAACUGUGUUUCUAAUUCAGGCUCAACACCUCUAUUUCUUCUUCUUCUUCAUCGUUUUGG
This 674-nucleotide long non-coding RNA is filed under the name Medicago truncatula (barrel medic). RNAcentral describes it as "lncRNA gene16173". The record is from RNAcentral. Lineage: Eukaryota; Viridiplantae; Streptophyta; Magnoliopsida; Fabales; Fabaceae.